CUUAGUACGAGAGGACCGGGAUGGACAUACCUCUGGUGUACCUGUUGUCGCGCCAGCGGCACCGCAGGGUAGCUAUGUAUGGAACGGAUAACCGCUGAAAGCAUCUAAGUGGGAAACCGGCCUUAAAACAAGAAAUCUCCAUUAAACCCGCAGAAGACCACUGCGUUGAUAGGCAGGAUGUGCAAGCGCCGCGAGGCGUUCAGCUUACCUGUACUAAUAGGUUGAUUGACUUAUAGCG
Molecule: ribosomal RNA, 238 nt
Filed under: Rickettsiales bacterium
Lineage: Bacteria; Pseudomonadati; Pseudomonadota; Alphaproteobacteria; Rickettsiales
Description: partial 23S ribosomal RNA
Rfam family: Bacterial large subunit ribosomal RNA
Source: RNAcentral